GCCCUUGCCCAUUUGAGGGGGAUACCAGUUGGAAACGACUGUUAAUACCGCAUAAUAUCUGUGGAUUAAAGGUGGCUUUCGGGCUGUCGCAGAUGGAUGAGCCUGCGUUGGAUUAGCUAGUUGGUGGGGUAAGGGCCCACCAAGGCUACGAUCCAUAGCUGAUUUGAGAGGAUGAUCAGCCACAUUGGGACUGAGACACGGCCCAAACUCCUACGGGAGGCAGCAGUGGGGAAUAUUGGACAAUGGGGGCAACCCUGAUCCAGCAAUGCCAUGUGUGUGAAGAAGGCCCUAGGGUUGUAAAGCACUUUAGUUGGGGAGGAAAGCCUCAAGGUUAAUAGCCUUGGGGAGGACGUUACCCAAAGAAUAAGCACCGGCUAACUCCGUGCCAGCAGCCGCGGUAAUACGGGGGGUGCAAGCGUUAAUCGGAAUUACUGGGCGUAAAGGGUCUGUAGGUGGUUUGUUAAGUCAGAUGUGAAAGCCCAGGGCUCAACCUUGGAACUGCAUUUGAUACUGGCAAACUAGAGUACGGUAGAGGAAUGGGGAAUUUCUGGUGUAGCGGUGAAAUGCGUAGAGAUCAGAAGGAACACCAAUGGCGAAGGCAACAUUCUGGACCGAUACUGACACUGAGGGACGAAAGCGUGGGGAUCAAACAGGAUUAGAUACCCUGGUAGUCCACGCUGUAAACGAUGAGUACUAGCUGUUGGAGUCGGUGUAAAGGCUCUAGUGGCGCAGCUAACGCGAUAAGUACUCCGCCUGGGGACUACGGCCGCAAGGCUAAAACUCAAAGGAAUUGACGGGGACCCGCACAAGCGGUGGAGCAUGUGGUUUAAUUCGAUGCAACGCGAAGAACCUUACCUGGUCUUGACAUCCUGCGAACUUUCUAGAGAUAGAUUGGUGCCUUCGGGAACGCAGUGACAGGUGCUGCACGGCUGUCGUCAGCUCGUGUUGUGAAAUGUUGGGUUAAGUCCCGCAACGAGCGCAACCCCUAUUGAUAGUUACCAUCAUUAAGUUGGGUACUCUAUUGAGACUGCCGCUGACAAGGCGGAGGAAGGUGGGGACGACGUCAAGUCAUCAUGGCCCUUACGACCAGGGCUACACACGUGCUACAAUGGGUAUUACAGAGGGCUGCGAAGGUGCGAGCUGGAGCGAAACUCAAA
This 1157-nucleotide ribosomal RNA is filed under the name uncultured Francisella sp. Its description in RNAcentral is "bacterial SSU rRNA". It matches the Rfam family "Bacterial small subunit ribosomal RNA", at positions 121 to 1278 of the family's 1533-position model. Lineage: Bacteria; Pseudomonadati; Pseudomonadota; Gammaproteobacteria; Thiotrichales; Francisellaceae. The record is from RNAcentral.